CUUGUACACACCGCCCGUCACACCAUGGGAGCGGGUUCUGCCUGAAGUAGUUAGCCUAACCGCAAGGAGGGCGAUUACCACGGCAGGGUUCGUGACUGGGGUG
This 103-nucleotide ribosomal RNA is filed under the name uncultured bacterium. RNAcentral's name for it is "partial 16S ribosomal RNA". It matches the Rfam family "Bacterial small subunit ribosomal RNA", at positions 1380 to 1482 of the family's 1533-position model. The record is from RNAcentral.